CUAGCAACUAGCCAUAUGCCCAUAUAUCCGGAGGUCGUCGGCCUCGCAUCGCAGGAGUCCCAAAUAGCAAGCCAACGACCACUCACAGAAAAUCGGCUUUUCUUUGCAACACCAACGCGGGAAAGCGCAUGGUCCCCCGGACCGGCGCGUCCAACGCCAACUCCAACUGCCAACCAAACCAGAAAACUUUCCCACAAAUCAAGGACGCUGUCCAAAUCCUACUCACCCCCUCAUCCAGCCACAGAUGCUCAAAUGGAGUAGUCGUGAUCACACACACACACAAAAUAAAAACAGCCUUGCUUUCUCCUGUUUUUGAGCCGGCAGACCAAUGGCAGCUCAUAAAGCAGGUCAUGAAGUAGUAUCCCCCAAUUAUGCCUACAGGCUACAGCGUCUACUGGCCCCAUUUUCCCUGGAAAUCCUCCAAUUUGAGCUGCUAACUGCCACACUGUGACACCCUGGAGCCGAGAGUGACAUGGCUUGGAAGUGAGCAGCUGGAAGAAGAUACAUACGCAGUGUUUUUGUCCAUUGUCCGUCCAUCCAACCAGGCAAAACGAGUGUCCACAAGAACCGGGAAAUCGCCAGAUAUGAUGUAUGGAAAAAUCUGCAUUCAAACAACAGUGCCAUGCAGAUGAACACGCGCACCUGUGGGUCGCGAUCAGAGAAAACUGGAUCGCAUUCCAGGUCUCAAUCACCGUCCAGAAACCAGCGUCACAGUCGCCUCUUGUGUCUAUUAUUGUCUUAUUUCGGUUUUAAGGCUACCUGAUGACGCAUUAAUUCAGCAAAGCAUCAGCGUCACUGUCCGUUGUCCCAGCUCCUAUUGCAGUUAGGUUUCUCUAACAUGGGAGCAUAGUACGCUGUGCUGUCGAUGCGUCGCACAGCUGCCUGAAACCUGAAGCUUUUUUUUUUUUUUUGGCAGGCACCAAACUGAAGCUGUGUGUCACAUGAUCUUAGGUACAACAGUGCAAUCAGGGUUAGCGUGUUGGAGCAGCUGCAGCUUUGAAGAUUGGAGCCGCACCCGAUGCCUCUUCAGGCUCCAGUUAGGAGACGGCCUGACGCCCUGACCACGGUCUCCAAUAAUUGAGAUGGUUCUGGUACAAUCAUGAUCAUCAUAGAACUAAAAGAAUACAGUAGCAACAAUGACUACAACUGAGAUGAUGUUAAGGAGCAGGGAGUAGUGUUGAUACAGCCCAGCAGCCCUUCACCGCUCCUGUUUUAAGCUCAGAAUUAUGGCAGAACAGAACAGUUAGCAAAUUUGCAAACUUCCAGGCAAUUCUUUGAGUCAAGAUCACAAGAUACAUGAUCAAAGGACAGCUACAAGGCAGCACAUAGCCAAACCAAGAAACAUUAAAAAGCAGGGGAGUGAGGAGACUAAAGGAAUGAA
Oryza sativa Japonica Group (Japanese rice) is the source of this 1381-nucleotide non-coding RNA. The record is from RefSeq and is a predicted model, not a curated record. Lineage: Eukaryota; Viridiplantae; Streptophyta; Magnoliopsida; Poales; Poaceae.